GACGAACGCGGGCGGCCUGCUUAACACAUGCAAGUCGAACGAGGAUGCCUAGCGUGUUAGGUGGAUUAGUGGCGAACGGGUGGGUAAUACGUGAUUGACUUACCUUUGACUUGGGGCUAAGCCUGGGAAAGUGGGUCUAAAACCGGAUACGACCAAUCUUCGCCCGGGUGUUGCCGGACAGCGAUAUUGACUACCAUCAGAUGGGCUCACGGCCUAUCAGCUUGUUCUGAGGUAAGGGCUUACCAAGGCGACGACGGGUAGCCGGCCUGAGAGGGUGACCGGCCACACUCGGACUGAGACACGGCCCAGACUCCUACGGGAGGCAGCAGUGCGGAAUGUUGCACAAUGGGGGCAAGCCUGAUGCAGUGACGCCGCGUCAGGGAUGACGGCAUUCGGAUUGUAAACGUUUGUAAGCACGAAGAAGCGAAAGGACG
RNAcentral lists this ribosomal RNA (434 nucleotides) under Rothia sp. oral taxon H03. Its description in RNAcentral is "bacterial SSU rRNA". It matches the Rfam family "Bacterial small subunit ribosomal RNA", at positions 28 to 460 of the family's 1533-position model. The record is from RNAcentral. Lineage: Bacteria; Bacillati; Actinomycetota; Actinomycetes; Micrococcales; Micrococcaceae.